GGCCAGCAGCCGCGGUAAGACGUAGGGUCCAAGCGUUGUCCGGAUUUACUGGGCGUAAAGAGCGCGUAGGCGGUCUGUUAAGUGUGAAGUGAAAUCUCCAGGGCUCAACCCGGAAACUGCUUCGCAUACUGGCAGACUUGAGGAAUGCAGAGGUUUGUGGAAUUCCUGGUGUAACGGUGAAAUGUGUUGAUAUCAGGAGGAACACCCAUGGCGAAGGCAGCAAACUGGGCAUUAUCUGACGCUGAGGCGCGAAAGCGUGGGUAGCAAACAGGAUUAGAUACCCUGGUAGUCCACGCCCUAAACGAUGGAUACUAGGCGUAAGAGGUAUCGACCCCUCUUGUGCCGCAGCUAACGCAUUAAGUAUCCCGCCUGGGGAGUACGGCCGCAAGGUUGAAACUCAAAUGAAUUGACGGGGGCCCGCACA
Molecule: ribosomal RNA, 424 nt
Filed under: uncultured bacterium
Lineage: Bacteria
Description: bacterial SSU rRNA
Rfam family: Bacterial small subunit ribosomal RNA
Source: RNAcentral